This is a non-coding RNA of Vicia faba (fava bean), 564 nucleotides long. The record is from the annotation of a GenBank genome assembly. NCBI's taxonomy places the organism in Eukaryota, Viridiplantae, Streptophyta, Magnoliopsida, Fabales, Fabaceae.
AUUCUCGAACACUGUACAUUUUCUCCGACCCAUUUUCUCCUAAAACCCUCAACGACUUCAUUCGCCGCGACGCCCACCGCUGCCAUUUUCUUCGACCCAUUUUCUCGUCUCUCCUCCAACACCGUCAACGACUCACCUUCGCCGCCGCUGCCAUUUUCUCCGACCCAUUUUCUCGUCUCUCCUCCGACCCAUUUUCUCGUCUCUCCUCCAACACCGUCAACGACUCACCUUCGCCGCGACGCCGUCAACCUUAGCUGCCACUUCGCCGCAACGCCGUCAACGACUCACGUUCUCGGUAUAAAUAGUAUUUGCAGAUUUGAAAACCCUUUCACUUUCGCAGAAAUCUACAGCAGCGGCGGCGUUUGGUCUCACCGGCGAGAAUCAAGCAAAAAGCAAUCAGCCAUGGGACACAGCAACGUUUGGAACUCUCACCCCAAGACCUACGGUCCUGGUUCACGCACUUGCCGUGUGUGUGGGAAUUCACAUGGAUUGAUUAGGAAGUAUGGACUCAUGUGCUGUAGGCAGUGCUUCCAUAGCAAUGCCAAGGAAAUUGGUUUCAUCAAG